AAGUCGUAACAAGGUUUCCGUAGGUGAACCUGCGGAAGGAUCAUUAACACGUAUCCAACGUUAAACCCCCCGUGAACCUUCAUUGUGCUCCCCCAUUCCGUUAGGACGCGGCAAUCCCUGGUAAAUCAUCGCCGAACAGUUUUGAUUCAGGGACCUCUGCAUGGAGUGGGCAGCAGCGCGAGGCAAGUGGCCUGGCAUUCGAAAGAAUGGCGCAGUAACGAUCGCUAGAGGCCGACACGGCCGGCGACCGGGUCACUGGGCUCAUCACCUUUGCAUGAAAACGGGCCUGCGCUUAAUUGUGCGGCCACCAAACUCGAACAACUGUUAACAAUGGAUAUCUUGGUUCUC
This 348-nucleotide unclassified non-coding RNA is filed under the name fungal sp. RNAcentral's name for it is "partial internal transcribed spacer region". The stretch from base 1 to 46 matches the Rfam family "Eukaryotic small subunit ribosomal RNA", at positions 1786 to 1831 of the family's 1831-position model. The record is from RNAcentral. Lineage: Eukaryota; Fungi.